RNAcentral lists this unclassified non-coding RNA (207 nucleotides) under soil metagenome. Its description in RNAcentral is "partial contains 5.8S ribosomal RNA, internal transcribed spacer 2, and large subunit ribosomal RNA". The record is from RNAcentral.
AACAUCGCGCACCUGCGGGAACCUGCGGAGGGAUCAUUACCGAGUUUACAACUCCCAAACCCCUGUGAACAUACCUAUACGUUGCCUCGGCGGAUCAGCCCGCGCCCCGUAAAAAGGGACGGCCCGCCCGAGGACCCCUAAACUCUGUUUUUAGUGGAACUUCUGAGUAAAACAAACAAAUAAAUCAAAACUUUCAACAAUGGAUCU